GUGAAUCAUCGAGUCUUUGAACGCACCUUGCACCGUAUGAGUAAUUGUACGGUAUACCUGUUUGAGAAUCGUAAAACUCUCUUUCCACUAGUUAGUGGGAGAUUUGUCGGUUGUGCUGCCCUCACGGGUGGUACUCUGAUCAAAAGUAGUAGGUCUUGAUCAGGCUAGUGGCCUGGGACAUUGUGUGCUAGAGACGUCGCUUCGGCUGACUGUCUUCUCACAGUGCGUCCUGGGCUAUCCAAAGCUAGCUUGGUCAAUAAGGCUUUACAGUGCCUCUGGUCCACGUUAAACACGGAUCUGGGUCACAACUCCAAAUUUUGAUCUCAAAUCAGGUAAGGCUACCCGCUGAACUUAAGCAUAUCAAUAAGCGGAGG
RNAcentral lists this ribosomal RNA (374 nucleotides) under uncultured fungus. Its description in RNAcentral is "eukaryotic LSU rRNA". The stretch from base 319 to 374 matches the Rfam family "Eukaryotic large subunit ribosomal RNA", at positions 1 to 56 of the family's 3401-position model. Lineage: Eukaryota; Fungi. The record is from RNAcentral.